This 250-nucleotide ribosomal RNA is filed under the name uncultured bacterium. Its description in RNAcentral is "partial 16S ribosomal RNA". It matches the Rfam family "Bacterial small subunit ribosomal RNA", at positions 524 to 776 of the family's 1533-position model. The record is from RNAcentral.
GACGAGGGAUCUAGCGUUGUUCGGAAUCAUUGGGCGUAAAGAGUAUGUAGGCGGCCUUGUAAGUCAGUUGUGAAAGCCCCGGGCUCAACCCGGGAAGUGCAAUUGAUACUGCUUGGCUUGAAUGUGGAAGAGGGCAGUAGAAUUCCUGGUGUAGUGGUGAAAUACGUAGAUAUCAGGAGGAAUACCGGUGGCGAAGGCGGCUGCCUGGUCCUACAUUGACGCUGAGAUACGAAAGCGUGGGAGCAACAGG